Molecule: ribosomal RNA, 400 nt
Filed under: uncultured bacterium
Lineage: Bacteria
Description: bacterial SSU rRNA
Rfam family: Bacterial small subunit ribosomal RNA
Source: RNAcentral
GGAAUAUUGGGCAAUGGGCGCAAGCCUGACCCAGCAACGCCGCGUGAAGGAAGAAGGCUUUCGGGUUGUAAACUUCUUUGACAGGGGAAGAUAAUGACGGUACCCUGAAAACACGCUCCGGCUAACUACGUGCCAGCAGCCGCGGUGAUACGGAGGAUGCGAGCGUUAUCCGGAUUUAUUGGGUUUAAAGGGUGCGUAGGCGGGCUGUCAAGUCAGCGGUAAAAUGGAGAGGCUCAACCUCUUCAGGCCGUUGAAACUGGCGGUCUUGAGUGAAUGAGAAGUAUGCGGAAUGCGUGGUGUAGCGGUGAAAUGCAUAGAUAUCACGCAGAACUCCGAUUGCGAAGGCAGCAUACCGGCAUUCAACUGACGCUGAAGCACGAAAGCGUGGGGAUCAAACAGG